Molecule: ribosomal RNA, 112 nt
Filed under: uncultured bacterium
Lineage: Bacteria
Description: partial 16S ribosomal RNA
Rfam family: Bacterial small subunit ribosomal RNA
Source: RNAcentral
CCCGGACCUUGUACACACCGCCCGUCACACCAUGGGAGUUAGUUGUACCGGAAAACGCCUUACUAACCCGCAAGGGAAGGAAGCGUUUAUGGUAUGGCUGAUGACUGGGGUG